RNAcentral lists this small RNA (2102 nucleotides) under Pongo abelii (Sumatran orangutan). Its description in RNAcentral is "retained intron". Lineage: Eukaryota; Metazoa; Chordata; Mammalia; Primates; Hominidae. The record is from RNAcentral.
AGACAGGAGCAGUCAUUCCCUUGUAGGGACAACUAGAAGAAAUUUUAUGAAUAAGCAUCAGAAGCCAGUGCUAACAGGCCAGCGGUUCAAAACUCGGAAAAGGGAUGAAAAAGAGAAAUUCGAACCCACAGUCUUCAGGGAUACACUUGUCCAGGGGCUUAAUGAGGCUGGUGAUGACCUUGAAGCUGUAGCCAAAUUUCUGGACUCUACAGGCUCAAGAUUAGAUUAUCGUCGCUAUGCAGACACACUCUUCGAUAUCCUGGUGGCUGGCAGUAUGCUUGCCCCUGGAGGAACGCGCAUAGAUGAUGGUGACAAGACCAAGAUGACCAACCACUGUGUGUUUUCAGCAAAUGAAGAUCAUGAAACCAUCCGAAACUAUGCUCAGGUCUUCAAUAAACUCAUCAGGAGAUAUAAGUAUUUGGAGAAGGCAUUUGAAGAUGAAAUGAAAAAGCUUCUCCUCUUCCUUAAAGCCUUUUCCGAAACAGAGCAGACAAAGUUGGCGAUGCUGUCAGGGAUUCUGCUGGGCAAUGGCACCCUGCCCGCCACCAUCCUCACCAGUCUCUUCACCGACAGCUUAGUCAAAGAAGGUAACGAGGCUCCUGUUUUCUCGCCUGUCAGACAACAAAAGAAAAAUAAAGCCACAGAUAGUUAGAAAAAUGCCAGUGGCUCUUUUUGGUGUCCUCUAUUACUCGUUCUUCAUAUAAAAGAAUAUCUGUGUAUGGGUCUAUAUUGCCUUUCAAAUAAUAGAAGGAGUGGACAUGUUAACUGUAGGAAGUUUGAAGGAAAAAAUAUGCACACCUGUACAAAGACAUAGUAAGAAAGACUAAUAGCAAAUUAAAAUCUCGUGGAAGACUUGAUGCCUAGGUCAAAUACCCCGAAAUCGAUCUGGUAAUCUUUUUGCCCUUCGACACAAAAUGGCAACCUUUAACUCUCACCCCUAUUAUAAGAACAAAAACUGUUCCCCUCUCAAGGUCUAGAGAAACUGAUGCUCAGAUAUUCAUUUUGAUUGCACAUUUUAAGAUAUUCAUUGUCUCAGUUUUAGAAAACAGUUUUAAGUCUGCUGCAUUAGAAGGAGUCUUGUUUUAAUUUUAAGGCAUUAAGAGUUGGAUAGGCAUGCAUACCAUGAUUUGGUUAUAGAAUAAAAUAAAAGUGGGCUGUUUACUUGUAGGAGGAUAAUGAUAGUCAAAUUACAAUGCAACACAAAACAGUUAUUUUUCCUUAAAAAUAAAUUAAAAGAGCUUUUGUGAGAACAUCUGUUUCUUCUGAGAACUUAAAGUUUUCCUCCUACGUAUAUGAAGUCCUAGCCUCAUUCAUGCCUGUAGUGAAAGAAAGGAGUUAUAGUUUUCUUGUAGCUAAGAAAAGAAUAGUAAAUUGAGAGUCAAUUGGUCUUAUUCAGAGACUCUCUCUAGUUUUUAGCUUAAAAUCACUCAGGUUUAUGACAAUUCAGACUCUGUAAUUGUUGGAUGUUAUUAGUAUUAUGACAUUUUAAAGUAUUUCCCUGGAGAAAAUUCACAAUACAACACACAUCUUAUUUUUGCUAUUAGCCGUUUUGCACACAGAAAAUCAACAUAGAAUAUAAAUGUUAAUCAUUAAUUAUUUUAAAUUAUUCUAGCCAACAUAACAGAAAAUAAUUGCCUUUCUAGUUUUUUUAAAAACCUAAGUGAUGUCUGUAACUUCCUUUGUAGUAUAUCCAAAAAUUACAUUAUUAGGUGGAUGGAUAUGUGAUAAAGCAAAGACGGCAAAAUAUUAGUUAUAGAAACUAGAUAGUGGGCAUGUGAGUGUUCAUUGUUCAAUUUGUUAAACUUUUCUGUAUGUCUGGAAAUUAUUAUAGUAAAAUGUUUGGGGGGUGGUGAGGAGAAAAAUAACUUUGCUAUGGAAGUAGCAUAGUACCUCUGUUAUAUGGCUUUUCCUUAAACUCUGCCAUCUUUUACAAACUAGAGGUUUAAACCCUUGCUUCCUAAUUGGAAAAGGAUUAAGAAAAUGACUGGGUAUGGUAACUCAUGCCUGUAAUCCUAACACUUUGGGAAGCUGAGGUAAGAAAAUUGCUUGAGGCCAGGAGUUUGAGACCAGUCUGGGAAACAAAGCAAGACUCUCUUCUCUAC